ACUCAGAACCUCGGAGUUUAAGGGGAUAGUAUAAAAGCGAAGUAUGUGUAUCCUACCUGUGUGGUAGAGAUAGAAGGUAAAACACUUCUAAUUGAUUUGAUUUUCAAUACCACACCGAGCAGAAUAUGAAAAGCAGAUACACUCACCCCUUUGAGUAAUCAGGUGAUUUACUCUUUUAAAUUCGAGGACGAAUUUUAUAUAAGGAGGGGAGGAUGUAAUAACCCCAAAAAAAAAUUUUAUAUAAAAGGGAUAGAAUAGUCCUUUAAAAUUGAUAUAAGGGGUAAAAUGGGAAGGAAUCAAAAGAUAAUGGCAUAGUUGUAGAUGCGUUGAAGUGGUAAGGGUAAAAUUGGAAGGAAUCAAAAGUUAAUGGCACAACGGUAGAUAUGUUGAAGUGUUAGGGGCAAAAUGGGAAUUUAAUAAUAUUAAACAAAGGGUGAAUAGUGUUUUGAUGUGAUUUAAUUGGAGGGUUUGAGCUGGUGAAACCGAGAGAAAGAGGGAGGGGGUUCUCAGACGACACAGAGAGAAAGAAAAAGAGAAGAAGAAGAAGAAGAAAGAAGAAGAGGAAGGGGAUUCAAGGAGGAAAGAGAUUCCGGUUGCACUU
Molecule: long non-coding RNA, 601 nt
Filed under: Phoenix dactylifera (date palm)
Lineage: Eukaryota; Viridiplantae; Streptophyta; Magnoliopsida; Arecales; Arecaceae
Description: long non-coding RNA (PDAC_LNC020864)
Source: RNAcentral